Molecule: ribosomal RNA, 482 nt
Filed under: uncultured bacterium
Lineage: Bacteria
Description: partial 16S ribosomal RNA
Rfam family: Bacterial small subunit ribosomal RNA
Source: RNAcentral
AGUGAACGUUGGCGGCGUGGAUUAGGCAUGCAAGUCGAGCGAGAACCGUAGCAAUACGGGGUCAGCGGCGAAAGGGACAGUAAUGUGUAGGUACCUACCUCCGGGUUCGGGAUAGCUGCGGGAAACUGCAGGUAAUACCGAAUAACGUCUCCGGACCAAAGGUGUGAUUCCACCUGGAGAGGGGCCUGCAUCCUAUUAGCUUGUUGGCGGGGUAACGGCCCACCAAGGCGACGAUGGGUAGCGGGUGUGAGAGCACGACCCGCGUCAUUGGGACUGAGACACUGCCCAGACACCUACGGGUGGCUGCAGUCGUGAAUCUUCGGCAAUGGGCGCAAGCCUGACCGAGCGACGCCGAGUGCGGGAUGAAGGCCUUCGGGUUGUAAACCGCUGUCGUAGAGGAGGAAAUGCAGGGGGGUUCUCCCCUCUGUUUGACCUAUUCUAGGAGGAAGUACGGGCUAAGUUCGUGCCAGCAGCCGCCGUAA